CCCUUAGAUGUCCGGGGCCGCACGCGCGCUACACUGAAGGAAUCAGCGUGGCUUUCUCCCUGACCCGAUAGGGUUGGGAAACCCGUUGAAUCUCCUUCGUGAUAGGGAUUGGGGCUUGAAAUUGUUCCCCAUGAACGAGGAAUUCCCAGUAAGCGCGAGUCAUAAGCUCGCGUUGAUUACGUCCCUGCCCUUUGUACACACCGCCCGUCGCUACUACCGAUUGAACGGUUUAGUGAGGGCCUCGGAUUGGUCUCGGCCCGCUCUUUACCGGGCGGCGCCGUUGGUCGAGAAGACGCUCGAACUUGAUCGUUUAGAGGAAGUAAAAGUCGUAACA
This 334-nucleotide ribosomal RNA is filed under the name uncultured eukaryote. Its description in RNAcentral is "partial 18S ribosomal RNA". It matches the Rfam family "Eukaryotic small subunit ribosomal RNA", at positions 1470 to 1796 of the family's 1831-position model. The record is from RNAcentral.